This 88-nucleotide transfer RNA is filed under the name Isertia laevis. RNAcentral describes it as "tRNA-Leu". It matches the Rfam family "tRNA". From Rfam's summary of the family: Transfer RNA (tRNA) molecules are approximately 80 nucleotides in length. Their secondary structure includes four short double-helical elements and three loops (D, anti-codon, and T loops). Further hydrogen bonds mediate the characteristic L-shaped molecular structure. tRNAs have two regions of fundamental functional importance: the anti-codon, which is responsible for specific mRNA codon recognition, and the 3' end, to which the tRNAs corresponding amino acid is attached (by aminoacyl-tRNA synthetases). tRNAs cope with the degeneracy of the genetic code in two manners: having more than one tRNA (with a specific anti-codon) for a particular amino acid; and 'wobble' base-pairing, i.e. permitting non-standard base-pairing at the 3rd anti-codon position. The record is from RNAcentral. Lineage: Eukaryota; Viridiplantae; Streptophyta; Magnoliopsida; Gentianales; Rubiaceae.
GGGGGAUAUGGCGAAAUUGGUAGACGCUACGGACUUAUAAAAUCCGUCGACUUUAAAAAUCGUGAGGGUUCAAGUCCCUCUAUCCCCA